ACGAACGCUGGCGGCGUGCUUAACACCUGCAAGUCGAACGGAAAGGCCCUGCUUUUGUGGGGUGCUCGAGUGGCGAACGGGUGAGUAACACGUGAGUAACCUGCCCUUGACUUUGGGAUAACUUCAGGAAACUGGGGCUAAUACCGGAUAGGAGCUCCUGCUGCAUGGUGGGGGUUGGAAAGUUUCGGCGGUGGGGGAUGGACUCGCGGCUUAUCAGCUUGUUGGUGGGGUAGUGGCUUACCAAGGCUUUGACGGGUAGCCGGCCUGAGAGGGUGACCGGCCACAUUGGGACUGAGAUACGGCCCAGACUCCUACGGGAGGCAGCAGUGGGGAAUAUUGCACAAUGGGCGGAAGCCUGAUGCAGCAACGCCGCGUGCGGGAUGACGGCCUUCGGGUUGUAAACCGCUUUCGCCUGUGACGAAGCGUGAGUGACGGUAAUGGGUAAAGAAGCACCGGCUAACUACGUG
This 467-nucleotide ribosomal RNA is filed under the name uncultured bacterium. Its description in RNAcentral is "partial 16S ribosomal RNA". It matches the Rfam family "Bacterial small subunit ribosomal RNA", at positions 29 to 507 of the family's 1533-position model. The record is from RNAcentral.